Molecule: ribosomal RNA, 404 nt
Filed under: uncultured bacterium
Lineage: Bacteria
Also listed under: 1 other name
Description: partial 16S ribosomal RNA
Rfam family: Bacterial small subunit ribosomal RNA
Source: RNAcentral
UGGGGAAUAUUGCACAAUGGACGAAAGUCUGAUGCAGCAACGCCGCGUGGAGGAUGACACAUUUCGGUGCGUAAACUCCUUUUAUAUGGGAAGAUAAUGACGGUACCAUAUGAAUAAGCACCGGCUAACUCCGUGCCAGCAGCCGCGGUAAUACGGAGGGUGCAAGCGUUACUCGGAAUCACUGGGCGUAAAGAGCGUGUAGGCGGAUAUAUAAGUCAGAAGUGAAAUCCAAUAGCUUAACUAUUGAACUGCUUUUGAAACUGUAUAUCUAGAAUGUGGGAGAGGUAGAUGGAAUUUCUGGUGUAGGGGUAAAAUCCGUAGAGAUCAGAAGGAAUACCGAUUGCGAAGGCGAUCUACUGGAACAUUAUUGACGCUGAGACGCGAAAGCGUGGGGAGCAAACAGG